GUGGGGAAUCUUGCGCAAUGGGCGAAAGCCUGACGCAGCCAUGCCGCGUGAAUGAUGAAGGUCUUAGGAUUGUAAAAUUCUUUCACCGGGGACGAUAAUGACGGUACCCGGAGAAGAAGCCCCGGCUAACUACGUGCCAGCAGCCGCGGUAAUACGUAGGUGGCGAGCGUUGUCCGGAAUUACUGGGUGUAAAGGGAGUGUAGGCGGGGCUUCAAGUCCGUUGUGAAACCGAUCGGCUCAACUGAUCGUUGCGGCGGAAACUGGAGCUCUGGAGUGAGGUAGAGGCAGGCGGAAUUCCCAGUGUAGCGGUGAAAUGCGUAGAUAUUGGGAGGAACACCAGUGGCGAAGGCGGCCUGCUGGGCCUUAACUGACGCUGAGGCUCGAAAGUGUGGGGAGCAAACAGGAUUAGAUACCCCUGUAGUCC
Molecule: ribosomal RNA, 424 nt
Filed under: uncultured bacterium
Lineage: Bacteria
Description: partial 16S ribosomal RNA
Rfam family: Bacterial small subunit ribosomal RNA
Source: RNAcentral